CCCCCCCCCCCCCCCGAGAUCCUGCUGCUUCUCGACCUUAAUCUUGCCCGCGCCCUCCACCCAGAUCCUGCGUGCAUGUGCAUCCUCCCUCGUCGGCGGCAAGAACAAGCUCGUGCGUUGUCCACCUCCCCGACUAAACACAGCCAGGGGCGCACACGGUUUGGGGUGUCUGCGGUGAAGGAAUUCCCAACAAGCCUGCAACGCAAUGCCGCCUCCGUUCUUGCCUGCUUAUUUUAGAGUAUAUUCAUCUGCUUAUUUUAGGGUAUGUGGUCUUUGCUCGUGGGCUGCUCCUAGUACAAGUGAACUAGAUCUGAGUUGAUGUGUUCUAGAUUUCUAAACUUGGCAUUGUUCCGAGUCUUUCUCCAACUUAUCCCUUAUCAUUAGAAGGGAAUUUAUUCAAUAAGUAGAUCUGAAAAAUGCUCGUGCUUUGUUAUGCUAAUUUCCAGUUCUUCAAUCAGAAUCCCAUUAGCUACUUAUUGACUCACAAUUUCAGUGACAUAGGUAAUUAAGGUGGUUCUGUACCAUCGAUCCCAUCAGGUUAUUACAUAUGGAUUUUCAAAAAUGAAAACUACAUGUGGUUCUGUAUCAUUUAUAAGUGAAGGGUGCAUACAUGUUACCAAUCAUGCUGAGCUGAAAUUUUGCAACAGUAUGGAAUAGAAAGUUCAGGUGUGUUCAUGGUUGGUGACUUAUUUUUGCACCUCCUUGACAAAUUGUCACUUUAUUGUUAAUUUUCGUUCACAGAUCCACCAUUGCUGAGGUAUUGUCCCCAUCCCUCCUCCCUUCUCAUGUUCCCUUCUCAUGUAUAUGAGAACGCUACGGAUUAUGUGCAUCAAUUGUUUCCAUAGUGUUCCCUCCAAAUGGAUUUUUUUUCUCAGGCACAGGUUGAACAUUUCCUUUUCAUCUCAAUGUAUUUGAUUAACCAUGUAGGAAGUAUCUACUGGUAUUCCUUUCUUUUUGUCAUUCUAUCGAACUGAAAUUUCUCGUGAAGUAGUGGAUCUGUGCCUAAAGGACUAAAAAAUAAAAUCGGCAUGCACAAAAGGGUGAAAUUUUAGGAAAUGUGCUCACUGUCGGAGCAAUUUGUAUUGUUUUGUUUAAUUCAAAUAGAGUUCAAUAUCUUCUUAUUGAUGAAAGAUAUAUGACCGAGAAUACAAUGACUCAGUUUAUUACAAUCUAAAUGAUAUGAAAUUCAGAAACUCUUAUGAGCUAGAAUCUGUUGCCUUUAGAAACUAUAGCUAUGUUUCACUGAUUACAAUUAAUUUUCUGAUGCUUGCAGUUCUUCAUAGUUUUUUUUCAUUUUAUAUCCUUAUAUGGUUUCCCCAAUGAACAACAGAGCUACCAUGUUUGUUCUCAUGGUUAGUAGAGUGGCACAGCUCUGCAGAACUGGUUUGUCUGGAAGAGGGGAUGGGAGAUAUGGGCAAGGCGAAUGGGCUAAGUUCCUUGGAAGUGGCACAGCUCUCCGCAGAAGCUAGUAGAUGAGAUCAGUUAGGAGUUAUCAUUUUGUUAUUUAAAGUGAAUUGAAGUCUUCACCAUUCCAGCAGUAGCACCAAACACUAUGAGCUAUGGUUUUGAGCUAAUCCUGUUCCUCUAGAUGAAAUAUAGAAGGCAAGCUCAUCUUUAUGAGCUAUUGUAAACAGCAGUCAAAUAUGUUAUUAGUUGGUAUGUUUGUUGCACUAAACGAUAAUUUGUGAGGAAGAUGUACCUUUAAGUUGUGUAUUUUAUAAAUGAAAUUUUUAUGAUGAAUGAAUCAUUGAAGUUCAA
This is a long non-coding RNA of Panicum virgatum (switchgrass), 1758 nucleotides long. RefSeq lists it as uncharacterized. The record is from RefSeq and is a predicted model, not a curated record. Lineage: Eukaryota; Viridiplantae; Streptophyta; Magnoliopsida; Poales; Poaceae. The transcript is spliced from 2 exons.